Long non-coding RNA from Ipomoea nil (Japanese morning glory), 338 nucleotides. RefSeq lists it as uncharacterized. The record is from RefSeq and is a predicted model, not a curated record. Lineage: Eukaryota; Viridiplantae; Streptophyta; Magnoliopsida; Solanales; Convolvulaceae. The transcript has 4 exons.
AUUUAUUUCAAUUUGCUGAAAUGAUGAAGAAGUUCGAAUCUAGUGCAAGGGAAAUGUCAAUGCCAUGCAUGAAUUAUUCCAUGUCACAUCGGCUAUGUCGACCAACGGCUACUGAAAAUAUCAGUUGCAACCUUGGUGGUGGCUUCGUCUCUUCUCUCUAUGGAUCUGCGGCUAUGUCGACCAACGACUACUGAAAAUAUCAGUUGCAACAUUGGUGGUGGCUUAGUCUCUUCUCCAUAUGGACCUGGAUUUCACAGUUGGUCUGAUUCUCAGUUCAAUAAUAUGGGCACCAAUGCACUGGAAUUUGUAUAAUGAGCCUUAACUGUUGCGCCAUGUUG